Molecule: ribosomal RNA, 414 nt
Filed under: uncultured microorganism
Description: bacterial SSU rRNA
Rfam family: Archaeal small subunit ribosomal RNA
Source: RNAcentral
CAGCAGCCGCGGUAAUACCGGCGGCCCGAGUGGCGGUCACUAUUAUUGGGCUUAAAGCGUCCGUAGCCGGGUUGGGAAGUCCUCCGGGAAAUCUGGCCGCUUAACGGUCAGAAUGCCGGAGGAUACUCCCAGCCUAGGGAGCGGGAGAGGCCGAGGGGAUUCCCGGGGUAGGGGUGAAAUCCUAUAAUCCCGGGAGGACCACCUGUGGCGAAGGCGCUCGGCUGGAACGCGGCCGACGGUGAGGGACGAAGGCCAGGGGAGCAAACCGGAUUAGAUACCCGGGUAGUCCUGGCUGUAAACGAUGCGGACUUUGUGUCGGACAAGCUAUGAGCUUGUCCGGUGCCGGAGGGAAACCGUUAAGUCCGCCGCCUGGGGAGUACGGCCGCAAGGCUGAAACUUAAAGGAAUUGGCGGG